Molecule: long non-coding RNA, 567 nt
Organism: Rhododendron vialii
Lineage: Eukaryota; Viridiplantae; Streptophyta; Magnoliopsida; Ericales; Ericaceae
Exons: 4
Source: RefSeq, a predicted model, not a curated record
CAUUGUCUGCUUUCUUGUAACAAACCACAGGAACAUUGUUAAAGCUCCAGUUCUAAUGCGGGAAUUAUGGCUUGAGAUGUGGCACAACAUCCAUCCUGAUGCAAAAUCAAAGUUUGUUAUGAAAGCUAAGCAUGGCCCUCUGAGGGAUGAGGACUGUUACUGGGACUAUGGUAAAGCUUGUUGUGCAUGGCCUGAGCAUUGCGAUAUUCUUACCUUUUGAACAUCUGUGUUCCCUGGGAUUCUAUGGCCAUCUGUUUCACUUGCUGCAUAAUGUACAGAUAUGUCUUUGGAGACGUUCACAUCGGGCAGAGCUGUAGGCUAAAGAAUUCUUCGGCUGAUCUGCUCUUGCAUUAUUUGUAACUUGUGAGGACUCUUUUGAUGUGUUUCUUCAGGAGUCAGGCAUCUCACCGUACAGUAUUUCCAUCGGUGCCUCCAUGUACCAUGAAUGUGCAAUGAAAACACUGGAAGCAAAUGGCUAUGAAGGACUCAGAAGUAAUCCCCCAACCCGUAGGCAGAGUUGACAUUGUGAAAAUGGCCGAUGACCAAAGAUUGAAACUCUAUUUUUAG